Molecule: ribosomal RNA, 253 nt
Filed under: uncultured bacterium
Lineage: Bacteria
Description: partial 16S ribosomal RNA
Rfam family: Bacterial small subunit ribosomal RNA
Source: RNAcentral
UACAGAGGGUGCGAGCGUUAAUCGGAUUUACUGGGCGUAAAGCGCGCGUAGGUGGUUAAUUAAGUCAGAUGUGAAAUUUCAGUGCUCAACAUUGAAACUGCAUCUGAAACUGAUGAGCUAGAGUGCAGGAGAGGAAAACGGAAUUCCUAGUGUAGCGGUGAAAUGCGUAGAUAUUAGGAGGAACACCAGUGGCGAAGGCGGUUUUCUGGACUGUAACUGACGUUGAGGAGCGAAAGUGUGGGGAGCAAACAGG